This 1826-nucleotide long non-coding RNA is filed under the name Acyrthosiphon pisum (pea aphid). RNAcentral's name for it is "uncharacterized LOC100570487". The record is from RNAcentral. Lineage: Eukaryota; Metazoa; Arthropoda; Insecta; Hemiptera; Aphididae.
ACUGUUUUUGUUUUGUUACAGGCAUUAUUUGGUACCGUUCACUCAGGCCAAGAAAAGCAAAUGGAAGAGGGCUGGAAUUAAACUGCACAUAUACAACGACCAUACGUUCGUCGCCAAACAUUUGUCCAGCCGCCUCAAUUGCUUGGUGUGCGCGAGAUACUUCCCGAGGCGCAUCGGCAAGCAGGGGUACGAGUGCAGGGACUGUCUGAUCAAAUGCCACAAGGAAUGUCACGUCAAGGUGUCGGUGGUGUGCACCAAUUCAAAAAUUCAUAACAUCGACCUGAAUAAUCUAACGGUAUUGCCAUCGAUAUCGGCCUAGCGACGAGGCAGUCGGCCGCGUCGGAUGCGACCCACUCGGUCCGCUCACGUUCACUUUCUCACUAACAUUUUCAUAAUAUAAUAUAACAUAAUGUCAUAUAUAUAUAUAUUACUAUUGUCGUAACAUUAUAACGCACCGUAUUAUUAUUAUUAUUAUUAUUAUAUUGUACCUGUACGAUAACGUUAUUAUAUUUGUGUGUACAACCGACCAUCGCGUAUUGUUGUUGUUAUACUAUAAUAGGAGCACUGUCGUCAAAAGGCCACCGGAAUAAAAUACAAUAAUAUUAAUGUCGUAAUAAUAUCAUUUUCGAUGCACAUUUAAAAACCGCCGCGGCGACGACAAAUCUUCCGACGACAGCAUAUUAUACCAUGAUAUAGUCGUACGCACUAAAUAUUAUACUAAAUAACGACGAUAUAAUAAUAACGAUUGUAAUUAUUAUAACACACAUUAGUAUCUAAUAUUUUACUAGUAGUGUUCAGUUCGCUUACACUGCAACUGCGGCUAGCGUCUCGUUUUUUAUUUUUUUAAAUUUUAUUUCUCGACCGCUUUCAAAUCAUAUCUCACACUCGACGAGUCCAAUGCUGGUAGUAACUUUUAUUAUAAUAUUAUUAUUUUUUUUUUAUUCAGUACCUACGAUGUUCGCUAAAGUUUUAAAUACAAAUAUUUUUGCUGGUUUAGACCAGUGAUGUGUGGAGAAUAUGUGGAGAUACUCGAGGCGAUACAAUAAUAAAACCAUUGAGACGGGCUGUUUUACUAAACUCCCGUAUCGUGUGGGUUUUCAAAUGUUUAGUCAUCAAAACGAUAGUUUUCUUAUAGAUAACUAACAAAACGUAACACGUUUGUUUAUCGGUAGGUACCAAUAUUAUGUACCCAACGGAAUCGAUGGUAAUUAUUCGCAUUCCACUCCACUUACACAACUGAGAGAGAGAGAGAACAUAUUUUAUUAGUGGGUCUUGGAGGAAAUACUACACUUUUUUCUUUACAUUCCCUCUGUCGACCAUUAACAUGAUAAUUGCUCCAUCUAUUAGUAUAACGUCUAUGGCGGGUGAUACAAGUGGCGUUAUCAUUUUCGUGUACCUACUGCAGUGUUUACCACAAGAUGUCUGACAAAAAUUAAAAUUUGGGACAUAGAAUUUUCGGAAACACUUGUUCUGGCGCAAUUACAGGUACAGAUAAUAAAUUAUAAUUUCGUAAAGAAAAAAUGAGAUGCACGCUUUUGCAGUUUAAGCGACGGGGUUAAGGGUAACGCACGACUCCAUUGUUUCUGAGUUUUAACAACGACACGGCGGGGCGUGGACGAGGAAGACGGUCGACGGAGACGCAGAGCAAACGCCGCUGUCGUAGGAACCGUAACCGUGUAAUAGGUAAUACCAUAAUGUUGUAAGGUAGGAUAGGGUAGGAGUAGGUUAUGUCGUAUAAUAGAUAAUAAUAUAAUAUCAGUAGAGGUAGUUGUUUUGUGCCCCGAACGUGUGUGUGUGUGUGUGUGUGUGUGUGUGUGUGUGUGUGU